CUAAGUAAAUAAAUAAAUGAAUCCGAGUACUCCAUAUUUAGUAUGCCAGCAUAUUUAUUAACAGUUCAUAUAAAAGAGUCCGACUACAAUGCUAUCGAUAGCAUCAAGCACUUGAUGCUAUCAAAUUUUCUGCUGUUAGAUCAACCUCUUUGACCAUUUUCAUCCGUCAGAUCAUGCUAUUCAACCAAUCGCCCACUCAACCCUAAGGGGUUACUAUCAUCUUAAUAGUACAUUAUUUCGUUCAAAAGCUAAAAACUUAAUAGUACUAAUGAUUUGACGCUAUUAAUAGUAUUCUAGUCUAGUUCCAUAUAUAAUGGCAAAUAUUUUUGGAGGCCCCAUGAGCAAAUUAAUGGUGUGUAUUCAAAGAUCUG
Molecule: long non-coding RNA, 371 nt
Filed under: Ananas comosus (pineapple)
Lineage: Eukaryota; Viridiplantae; Streptophyta; Magnoliopsida; Poales; Bromeliaceae
Description: long non-coding RNA (ACOM_LNC028644)
Source: RNAcentral